Non-coding RNA from Oryza glumipatula, 210 nucleotides. The record is from Rfam. NCBI's taxonomy places the organism in Eukaryota, Viridiplantae, Streptophyta, Magnoliopsida, Poales, Poaceae.
AAUAAGUCCAGUUUUAGCACUGUUCAUGUUCAACGUUUGACCGUUUGUCUUAUUUAAAAAAAUAUUAUGAUUAAUAUUUUUAUUGUUAUUAGAUGAUAAAACAUGAAUAGUACUUUACGUGUGACUAAUUUUUUUAAUAUUUUUUAUAAAUUUUUCAAAUAAGAUGGAUGGUCAAAGCGCUAAACACGGAUAUCUAUGGCUGCAUUUAUU